AUGAUCUUGUAUCUCGGCGCAGUGGCCCUCGGGGAAGUCGACUGUAAUUGGACGAACUCAUCACCUAAUGUGCCGGCAGCGAGGAGCUCCGCCCUUCAUCAUCACAAUGACCUUCAUCUGCCUCCUCGUCUUCACAACAAGACACAGAUCUCAGAAACAGUCAAAGCACCAAACCUAAAGCACAAAAGUCCAAAAGUGUGGACGGCAGUCGACUCCUACACGCAGAGUGAAGCUGAUGCUGUCGGUGAUAAUCGAGGUGGCUGGAAUCCCGUCCAACAUUCAGGUGUCCUCACGCAUCCCCUGCAAACCGGGAGCAGGUUAUGGGAAUAUGUGUUCUGGGAAAUGAGGAACGGCGCUGCGUUGGUGGUCUCGAGGGGCGAUGGCCGGCUGGCCUCGGGCUGAAUACUCACACUGCUGUGACGGUGACCCUCCUCACCUCACGUUCAGCUCAUUUAAAUGCAAACAGUCGCAGAGCUACAUUUUAUAUCACAGGUGCAUGUAUGCAGCAAAAUGUGGCACUAUGUGUGUGUGUUAACAUGUGACGGCUACUAUUUAUCACCAGUGAUUAUAUAUCCAGCAAGCAGCCUUGGUGAAGAAUUUAAAAUGGUAUAUCUAGGCUAGUAGCAGACUUUUUUUUUGCAAGUAUGCAAAUGCUUUGCUGAUGCAUUCAAACUGUACGCCUGUUGAACAUAUACUUGGCACGUGCUCUUGCAUUACUGAAAACCGAUGACCAAGUUGAAAUGUUUGAGAAACAUCCAAGAAAAGCAAUUAAAUUCAAUUCAAAUAGAAGUAAUAAAAGUAAACAAUUUUCCCUUAUUUAUUGCUGAAUAUUAUGUUCUGAUAUUAUGGUGACAUUAACAUACAUUUCACUCAGUUACUUAAGCAAAUAUUGUUAACUGCAUUUAAUUAAAUGUUUGGUUUCCUCAUGUUUAUUUCAUUUAAUAUAAAAUCAACCUGUGAAUUUUAUGAAACAAUAAUUCAGAAAUGUCUGUAUGUCUUUAACCUAAAAA
Molecule: long non-coding RNA, 1010 nt
Organism: Cyprinus carpio carpio
Lineage: Eukaryota; Metazoa; Chordata; Actinopteri; Cypriniformes; Cyprinidae
Source: Ensembl